GGGGGACCAUCCUCCAAGGCUAAAUACUCCUGACUGACCGAUAGUGAACCAGUACCGUGAGGGAAAGGCGAAAAGAACCCCGGCGAGGGGAGUGAAAAAGAACCUGAAACCGUGUACGUACAAGCAGUGGGAGCACAGAGCAAUCUGUGUGACUGCGUACCUUUUGUAUAAUGGGUCAGCGACUUAUAUUCUGUAGCAAGGUUAACCGAAUAGGGGAGCCGAAGGGAAACCGAGUCUUAACUGGGCGUUAAGUUGCAGGGUAUAGACCCGAAACCCGGUGAUCUAGCCAUGGGCAGGUUGAAGGUUGGGUAACACUAACUGGAGGACCGAACCGACUAAUGUUGAAAAAUUAGCGGAUGACUUGUGGCUGGGGGUGAAAGGCCAAUCAAACCGGGAGAUAGCUGGUUCUCCCCGAAAGCUAUUUAGGUAGCGCCUCGUGAAUUCAUCUCCGGGGGUAGAGCACUGUUUCGGCAAGGGGGUCAUCCCGACUUACCAACCCGAUGCAAACUGCGAAUACCGGAGAAUGUUAUCACGGGAGACACACGGCGGGUGCUAACGUCCGUCGUGAAGAGGGAAACAACCCAGACCGCCAGCUAAGGUCCCAAAGUCAUGGUUAAGUGGGAAACGAUGUGGGAAGGCCCAGACAGCCAGGAUGUUGGCUUAGAAGCAGCCAUCAUUUAAAGAAAGCGUAAUAGCUCACUGGUCGAGUCGGCCUGCGCGGAAGAUGUAACGGGGCUAAACCAUGCACCGAAGCUGCGGCAGCGACACUGUGUGUUGUUGGGUAGGGGAGCGUUCUGUAAGCCUGUGAAGGUGUGCUGUGAGGCAUGCUGGAGGUAUCAGAAGUGCGAAUGCUGACAUAAGUAACGAUAAAGCGGGUGAAAAGCCCGCUCGCCGGAAGACCAAGGGUUCCUGUCCAACGUUAAUCGGGGCAGGGUGAGUCGACCCCUAAGGCGAGGCCGAAAGGCGUAGUCGAUGGGAAACAGGUUAAUAUUCCUGUACUUGGUGUUACUGCGAAGGGGGGACGGAGAAGGCUAUGUUGGCCGGGCGACGGUUGUCCCGGUUUAAGCGUGUAGGCUGGUUUUCCAGGCAAAUCCGGAAAAUCAAGGCUGAGGCGUGAUGACGAGGCACUACGGUGCUGAAGCAACAAAUGCCCUGCUUCCAGGAAAAGCCUCUAAGCAUCAGGUAACAUCAAAUCGUACCCCAAACCGACACAGGUGGUCAGGUAGAGAAUACCAAGGCGCUUGAGAGAACUCGGGUGAAGGAACUAGGCAAAAUGGUGCCGUAACUUCGGGAGAAGGCACGCUGAUAUGUAGGUGAAGUCCCUCGCGGAUGGAGCUGAAAUCAGUCGAAGAUACCAGCUGGCUGCAACUGUUUAUUAAAAACACAGCACUGUGCAAACACGAAAGUGGACGUAUACGGUGUGACGCCUGCCCGGUGCCGGAAGGUUAAUUGAUGGGGUCAGCGCAAGCGAAGCUCUUGAUCGAAGCCCCGGUAAACGGCGGCCGUAACUAUAACGGUCCUAAGGUAGCGAAAUUCCUUGUCGGGUAAGUUCCGACCUGCACGAAUGGCGUAAUGAUGGCCAGGCUGUCUCCACCCGAGACUCAGUGAAAUUGAACUCGCUGUGAAGAUGCAGUGUACCCGCGGCAAGACGGAAAGACCCCGUGAACCUUUACUAUAGCUUGACACUGAACAUUGAGCCUUGAUGUGUAGGAUAGGUGGGAGGCUUUGAAGUGUGGACGCCAGUCUGCAUGGAGCCGACCUUGAAAUACCACCCUUUAAUGUUUGAUGUUCUAACGUGGACCCGUGAUCCGGGUUGCGGACAGUGUCUGGUGGGUAGUUUGACUGGGGCGGUCUCCUCCUAAAGAGUAACGGAGGAGCACGAAGGUUGGCUAAUCCUGGUCGGACAUCAGGAGGUUAGUGCAAUGGCAUAAGCCAGCUUGACUGCGAGCGUGACGGCGCGAGCAGGUGCGAAAGCAGGUCAUAGUGAUCCGGUGGUUCUGAAUGGAAGGGCCAUCGCUCAACGGAUAAAAGGUACUCCGGGGAUAACAGGCUGAUACCGCCCAAGAGUUCAUAUCGACGGCGGUGUUUGGCACCUCGAUGUCGGCUCAUCACAUCCUGGGGCUGAAGUAGGUCCCAAGGGUAUGGCUGUUCGCCAUUUAAAGUGGUACGCGAGCUGGGUUUAGAACGUCGUGAGACAGUUCGGUCCCUAUCUGCCGUGGGCGCUGGAGAACUGAGGGGGGCUGCUCCUAGUACGAGAGGACCGGAGUGGACGCAUCACUGGUGUUCGGGUUGUCAUGCCAAUGGCACUGCCCGGUAGCUAAAUGCGGAAGAGAUAAGUGCUGAAAGCAUCUAAGCACGAAACUUGCCCCGAGAUGAGUUCUCCCUGACCCUUUAAGGGUCCUGAAGGAACGUUGAAGACGACGACGUUGAUAGGCCGGGUGUGUAAGCGCAGCGAUGCGUUGAGCUAACCGGUACUAAUGAACCGUGAGGCUUAACCUUACAACGCCGAAGGUGUUU
RNAcentral lists this ribosomal RNA (2517 nucleotides) under Escherichia coli. RNAcentral describes it as "partial 23S ribosomal RNA". It matches the Rfam family "Bacterial large subunit ribosomal RNA", at positions 447 to 2925 of the family's 2925-position model. Lineage: Bacteria; Pseudomonadati; Pseudomonadota; Gammaproteobacteria; Enterobacterales; Enterobacteriaceae. The record is from RNAcentral.